This 118-nucleotide small nucleolar RNA is filed under the name Mus pahari (shrew mouse). RNAcentral's name for it is "snoRNA (MGP_PahariEiJ_G0034590.1)". It matches the Rfam family "Small nucleolar RNA SNORA17". Rfam says of the family: snoRNA ACA 17 belongs to the H/ACA family of snoRNAs and is predicted to guide pseudouridylation of the 28S rRNA at positions U4659 and U4598. It shares the same host gene together with ACA43. NB This family has a high threshold value to exclude a large number of closely related sequences that do not appear to have conserved H and ACA boxes, and may be pseudogenes. The record is from RNAcentral. Lineage: Eukaryota; Metazoa; Chordata; Mammalia; Rodentia; Muridae.
CCUGCCUUUAGGGGUACAGCAGAUGUGUCUUCUGUGUCAUAUAUGUAUCAACAGGUGGCAGAAAGGAGAGGGAAUAUAUUCUACCUAUGAACAUCUGAAUUAUUAGUAGCCUAAUAUU